RNAcentral lists this long non-coding RNA (3021 nucleotides) under Hordeum vulgare. Its description in RNAcentral is "long non-coding RNA (HVUL_LNC008176)". The record is from RNAcentral. Lineage: Eukaryota; Viridiplantae; Streptophyta; Magnoliopsida; Poales; Poaceae.
UCUCUCAACAUUUCACGACGAUAUUAUAUUACGACCAGAUAAGUACGUAUAUAGAAGAGACGAUCUAACUCACGUUGACCUCUUACUCGUAACCUAGUAGGACUGCACGACCGAUUGCUAAGCUAACCUAUAUACGGACAUGCUAUAUAAUAUAUCCAUGACGGACACGUAUGUCCACUGGUCCGAAACAUCGAUGAUGGUGAAGUCGGAGCUGGCCAGAGGGUCACAUAUCCAGCACAAGGAUUUUCAACGACAGCCUGGCCUGGCUAGGUCAUCGAAGAAGAGGGUGUUGGUUUAUUGCAGCAAGUUCGGCAGCAAUCUUGGACCUGACGUUCAACGUCACGGGUGAUAUUUUUUAUUUGUUUUCGUUAGAGACUCAUCGUAUUCGGUUUUGGACAGCAAGGCAGUGCCCUUUCCUUGGUGUAGGAAUAACGUUAUCUCUGUAUGCUCCCCAUUCCGUUGGUGUGCUUAUCGUCGACGGAGGAAGUGUGGAGUCGUGUCUCCGGCGGGCCGUCCUGAUCCAUUGGUUUACAUUUUCGGUGGAUUCGUCUAGAUUCGACCGGUGUUUGUGGUCUUGCAGUUUCGACAUGCCUUUACCGACGUUUUCUUCACCGGGGCGCCGAUUUGCGUCGCAGAUGAUAGAGAUCAGUGCCUUGUGGUGUGCAUAGUGAACUUCUCGGCCAAUGAUUUUAUUAUGUGUUUUACAACCAAGGCUUAACUAGUCCACGCAUUUGUUUCCUAUUACGGGCAAUCAUGUGUUCCCCAAAUCUGGAAAGCCUUUCUUUGUACUACAAAUUUCUUUUAAGUCCUUCAGAGCAUCUCGAGUCACGCUUGUCAAUUUUGGGCUACAAUUUGUCCACAGGCAGCAGGGUUCAACCCAACUUAUCUGCCCCUUCAACAACAACACCCAUUUAUUCGUCCCCAAAUCAAAGAAAAACUCAUGCAACAACUUAGAUCAUACAUAUACUUCACAAUUUUGAUCAUACUAUAAAGUUCAUACCUACCAGGACAAAUCAACAUUGUAGUUCAUACAUUCAACUAGGGCGUGAGAAGGACAUACUAGACUACAUAGUUCGUUAAACUAGGAUUGUCAUAUAGGACAUUGCAAGAUCAAUAAGGACAUAGCCGGUGUUGACACUUCCUUAGCAUCAACGCAUUGUGACAGACGUCAAAAAUUGCGUAGGGGUCAUCAGUGGUAGGUGGCGCUAGACAUGGGGUCCUCCAAGUCAUGUAUGUCCGUGUGGGCACGCACACAUGCUUUAUCAUUGGCGUUCUUCUCGGUAUUACAGUGCAAUUGCUCGAAGCCAUCCCAGGGAAUUUGCAUUGAUCCGUCUUGCGGCACAUGUGUGACUCCUUCAGCGCAUGAGGUCAUCGUAAUCCAAUGGCACCGACACCGGAGUGGAUCUGAUGCUGGAGGAGGAUGGUCAGCACACCUUCUCCAUCUCACGCCGAGAUCGCCGAACCUCGGACUACGGUUGAGCAUUGUUGCCGCCACUAUUGCAUUCACCACGAACCGGUGGUAAUGAAGGCCAGCGGACACGUAGCAUUCCCGACGACGGCCACCACAGACAUAUUUCUUAACGGGGUGAAUUAGAAGCACGACAUAUGUUCACUUUGUUAUGAGUUGAGUUCAUUUUCACCAAAUUAAGUAUGUUCAUAAUAGUUAGUUAAUCUGUAUGGAUAAAUAUCAUCUGUUCCAAGAAUGCUAUUCAUGCAAACUAUAUAUUAAAACUCGGAAUGGUCGAAUAUUACUACUUAACUUAUCGUCACGCGACAAGUAAUGAUAAAAGGCAAUCUGCUCUUUAGAUGUUUCCAUCUGAAGAUUUUGUGGUGCUAUACCAGCUUGAUCUCAGUUGCCACACAAACAAAGACCAUGUUCUAGUCCACCCAUAUAUAGUGUUCAACUUGUUCAGUGUGUGUGAUACUACUACCUUAACUAACACGUGUCGAUGGUGGUGAUCAGAAUUCAGAAAGCGGAUCCUGAGGAUAUGUCCAUGCAUGAACGAACGGCGUUCCUUUUUUGCAGAAAAACUGAAGUUGUUGUAACAACCUAUGAGAUCCCAAUGACCAGUUAAUCGCUCUCUCACUAUGCUAUAUGUAAACUCGCAUGGGACAAGCAAAUUUUACUCCAAGCAAGCUGUGCGUCAAAGGCAGAACAGUGAAUGAAUCACAUUCACGUGUCAAGGAUGUAUCCAGCGAACUACAUUCAUGCUAAUAACAAAGACGACCAACCAUCCACCAAAAAGAUUUGGAAAUAACUACCCAUGUUCAUGAUGACAACCUGAGUGAUAUAAAAGUUGAUGUAAUAGUGUAAACAAAUGAUCUAUGAGGCUUAUCAGCUCUAGUACCUCUUGAGAAUGAAGAUCGGCCGACAGGUCACAAAUAGUCCCAUAUAUAGAGGUCGCACGACAACCACAUCAUUCACGUAUACAGGGAACAAAGGAUAACCACAACCAGUGAGGAGCAUGGGAUUGGGAGGUAUCGGGAACUAAAUUCAAUCUAUCCUUUUUCACUAUCCUACAGUAGUGUGUUAGUGUGGAUUAAGAUGGCACGGAUUAUGAGGUCUCUAUUUGCUUCGUGGAGAAUAUGCUCGGAUCAGGUUGUCGCCUAACCAGGCGUCAACUUCUUUCCACCUACACCAUCGUACCCAUGUGCCUGCCAAUCGCUUGCUUGCAAUAUUGGAGGUUCGGUGAUACUGCACCAAUUGCGCUGACGCAAUUUAUUUGAUUUCCAAACAUGAGACGCUAAUCAAAUUUCUAUUACAUGAAGGAACUAAUAAAGCCUUGUACUCAAUUAUGUCAACAUAUUUUGGUCCCAAAUAAUGUUGGAAAUAUGAGCAAUUUACCAUAGGAUUUUAUUAAAAGAAAAGUUAGGGAAAACAUGACUAUCAUAAAAAAGAUGAAACAAUACAUGGAAUAUAAAGAUGAGACGACGAAAGACAUGUGCACAUAUGAUCUAGAAGAGAACAUAUGUAGAGCCGUACUAUAUACACAAGGCAUCAUAUGGAGUGAUGAGCAGAAA